Molecule: long non-coding RNA, 2400 nt
Filed under: Homo sapiens (human)
Lineage: Eukaryota; Metazoa; Chordata; Mammalia; Primates; Hominidae
Description: non-protein coding lnc-ARAP2-9:1
Source: RNAcentral
GUGGGUCACCACAUGUUGUCCUCACCAUCAUCGUUUCCUGUAGAAAUAAAAUGCCUAAGGAGAGAAGGGAGAUAUGAAAUAUGAAUAUCUACUUUAACAAGGGUAGAGGAAAACAUAUACUCCUGCAUGGGCAAAUAAGGUUCAAAAUCAGAGACUCUAUAAUGUUGCAAUAUUUGGAAACAAAGAGAAAAAAACAGAAUUAUUAAAUAACCAACCCCAUAUGUGUAAUCAUUAACUUAAACAUCAUUCUAAAUAAUAAGAAACAUUUAGGGACAUCAAAUUUCUCAAGAUAGAUAACAGAAACAAAGAACGGUUUGGCCCCACUGAUCAACUAAACUUUGGUUUAAAUUCUCUUCUUCCCUCAUGCCCCUGCAUUUUGAUCCAACACAGCCUGAACCUGCACACAACCCAUCUUUAAUACCCAACUAUUGGGUACUUGGGUUUAAUACCUAGGUGAUGAAAUAAUAUGUACCACAAACUACCAUGACAUGUGUUUACCUAUGAAACAAAGCUUCGCAUGUGCCUCCAAACCUAAAACAAAAGUUAAAAAAAGAAGAUAUUUGUUAUGACAUAUCACUAUGUCCUUGGGAGAAAUAUUGUUGCCAGUUAACUCUUCAACUAGUUUGUCUGUGUUUUUUAUUUUAGCCAUAUAAAAGACAAGACAGGUUUUUAGCAUUCCAACUGAUUUUUAUUUUCUCAGUCUCCUCUUGCCCAAAUUCUGACUUCAUUAUUUUGUGAGACAAAGAUCUUCAUCAUUGUCCAUUUUGCUUUGAUUAGAUGGCUGAUUGGACAGGUGGACUAAAGUCAAUCUUUAGUAUUUUUUCAUUGUAAGAUUAACUAUUGAGUCAUUUGAUAUGACAAUGGGUUCACAGUAGUUUUAAAGAUUAUGCACAACACAUAUUUGAGUGGAAUAACACAGAAAAAUACAAAGGAAAAUAUUUGGAGUUUACAUCUUAACAAAUAUUUGGAGUUUGGAUCUUAACAAUCACAUAGGCUGCCAUCUAUAUAAUUCAUGUAACAGACAAACAAGAUUUGUUGUAAUUUUCAAUAUGGGAAUAUUCACUUUUAAAUAUAAUUAUGUAUUCUACGCAUAAGUUGGAAUGAAAAUCUUCAUGUGUACUUCUCACAUUGAAAUUCUAAGUUUAAAUGUAUAUUUAUUUUCUAAGAAUAAAAUGCUACAAUAAUUAAUAUGAUUACAUAGGUGUAUAAAGCUCACCAGCUUGUACACUGAGAUUUAAUGUUUUAUUUUUGCUACACCUCAAUUAAAAAUCUUUUUUAGAAGAUAAAGUGUCAGUGAAGAUAAUUUUCUUCCCUGAGGUUAUAUAACAUUUUGUUACAAGGAUAAGAUGCAGCAAAAAUUAUCAUGAAACUAAUUGUGAAAAUACACUUAUCUUUGAAAGUUCUUAACUAUUUGUUUACAUAAAACAAUAACAGAGUUAAGAAUAUUCAAAUAUAAGUAAAUAACAAAAUAGGCCAGGCAUGGUGGCUCACGCCUGUAAUCUCAGCACUUUGGGAGGCCCAGGCAGGUGUAUCACCUGAGGUCAGUUCAACACCAGCCUGGCCAGUAUGGUGAAACCCCAUCUCUACCAAAAAUACAAGAAUUAGUCAGCUAUGGAAGCGCAAGCCUGUAGGUAGUCCCAGCUACUCAGUAGGCUAAGCAGGAGAAUCGCUUGAACCUGGGAGGCAGUGGUUGCAGUAAGCUGAGAUCGUGUCACUGUACUCCAUCCUGGGCAACAGAACAAGACUCCAUCUCAAAAAAAAUAAAAUAAAAUACAUUGGUGGUAUAUUACAAUUUUAAGAGAAAAUGUGAAAGAUGGCUAAGUAGUUGAGUUAUUAUUUGUACCCAGGUUGCCUGACUCUACAGCCUACAUGUGAAACCACAAAAUUCCAUUAAAUGAAUACAAUAUGUAAUUGCCUGCCUGGUAAACUGUGAAUAUUUUACACACAGUGAACCUUUUGGAAAAAUAGACUUUCCAGUGUUAUUGGUAUAAGAUGGUAGCCCAAAUUCAUUGGUGGGGUGGUGGGGGCAGUGGGCAAGAAUCUUACAUCCAAUGAACAAACUCUGAAAAGAAAGCUUAAUGUUUCUCAUAGUUUUUAUGAUUCUCAAAAAAGAAAAAAAAAAGAAAAAAAAAGAGAUAACUAAGACAUGUGAUGAGCACCUUUAAAUACUCGAAGGUUCCCCAAAUACUAAUUCAGGGAAUGUCAUACCCAAGCCUGUAGCUGGCAGAUGACAAAACACUACUGCUCCUGUGUAGACACAUAAUUAAAUAUAAAAACAUAACCACACCAUCAGUCUUGGAAAAUAAUACAUAUGGUUGCCACAUAUCACUUAAUCACCACAUUUUCAUCUUCCCAGACUAAGAGUUUAGCCUACUUUUACUUGGUUAUUAACAAAUACAU